This 328-nucleotide ribosomal RNA is filed under the name uncultured Ceratobasidiaceae. RNAcentral describes it as "eukaryotic LSU rRNA". The record is from RNAcentral. Lineage: Eukaryota; Fungi; Basidiomycota; Agaricomycetes; Cantharellales; Ceratobasidiaceae.
CGCACCUUGCGCUCCUUGGUAUUCCUUGGAGCAUGCCUGUUUGAGUAUCAUGAGCAAAUCUACAAAGUCGAUCCUUUUGUUAAUUCAAUUGGUUUUGCUUUGGACUUGGAGGUCUUGCAGAUUUCACCAUCUGCUCCUCUUAAAUGCAUUAGCUGGAUCUCAGUAUUUAUGCUUGGUUCCACUCGGCGUGAUAAGUAUCACUCGCUGAGGACACUGGUAAAAAGGUGGCCAGGAAAAUACUGAUUGAACCGCUUCUAACGGUCUAUUAACUUAGACAAUUACCCUUAAGUUUGAUCUCAAAUCAGGUAGGACUACCCGCUGAACUUAA